AAACGUUUUAGAAUGAUGACGCAUAGUUCAGUUGAUCCUACUGUGAUAACUCACUUAAAUUGAAAUUGGUCUUUCACCCCUACCUGACCCAAACGUUU
Small nucleolar RNA from Anopheles darlingi, 98 nucleotides. It matches the Rfam family "Small nucleolar RNA snR60/Z15/Z230/Z193/J17". Rfam says of the family: The members of this family belong to the C/D class of snoRNAs which contain the C (UGAUGA) and D (CUGA) box motifs. The record is from Rfam. Lineage: Eukaryota; Metazoa; Arthropoda; Insecta; Diptera; Culicidae.